GAUGAACGCUGGCGGCGUGCCUAAUACAUGCAAGUCGAGCGAACGGACGAGAAGCCUGCUUCUCUGAUGUUAGCGGCGGACGGGUGAGUAACACGUGGAUAACCUACCUAUAAGACUGGGAUAACUUCGGGAAACCGGAGCUAAUACCGGAUGAUAUUUUGAACCGCAUGGUUCAAAAGUGAAAGACGGUCUUGCUGUCACUUAUAGAUGGAUCCGCGCUGCAUUAGCUAGUUGGUAAGGUAACGGCUUACCAAGGCAACGAUGCAUAGCCGACCUGAGAGGGUGAUCGGCCACACUGGAACUGUGACACGGUCCAGACUCCUACGGGAGGCAGCAGUAGGGAAUCUUCCGCAAUGGGCGAAAGCCUGACGGAGCAACGCCGCGUGAGUGAUGAAGGUCUUCGGAUCGUAAAACUCUGUUAUUAGGGAAGAACAUAUGUGUAAGUAACUGUGCACAUCUUGACGGUACCUAAUCAGAAAGCCACGGCUAACUACGUG
RNAcentral lists this ribosomal RNA (497 nucleotides) under uncultured bacterium. RNAcentral describes it as "partial 16S ribosomal RNA". It matches the Rfam family "Bacterial small subunit ribosomal RNA", at positions 28 to 507 of the family's 1533-position model. The record is from RNAcentral.